Thunnus maccoyii (southern bluefin tuna) is the source of this 475-nucleotide long non-coding RNA. RefSeq lists it as uncharacterized. The transcript is spliced from 2 exons. The record is from RefSeq and is a predicted model, not a curated record. NCBI's taxonomy places the organism in Eukaryota, Metazoa, Chordata, Actinopteri, Scombriformes, Scombridae.
CCGUCGCUGAAAUGUACAUCAAGGGGAACUCAUUGUCUGUGUCUGACAAAGACAGCAGAAAAUAUCAUGAUCAGUCAUAAAAGGUUUGGUUCAUAACAUGCUAGCAUGGGAACUCUAUGAUGAGUUACAAACAGGUCUUACCGUCCUCCAGAUUUAGUCCUGUGCCGGGAGAGGAUUGAGAUGACAUGCGAUCAAGUUGUUCUCCAUCUGGACGGUUAAGUCUGAAGUACAGGGAUUUCUGACACUGUGCUGGCUUUCAGCAGCAUGCUAAAGCUGCUAACAGGGCUGUGUAGAGUCCUCAUGGCAACAGGUGGCCAAUGAGGGCUGCUGUCAGUGCAUUGUGGGCUGGCCAUGGACAGUAAAUCAGAUUACAGUGUAGAGGUGGUCCAAGCAGAAAGGAGGCUAUAUAAGGUGAAGUCCAUCUGUUCAAGCCUUGUCCAAACUGAAUAAACUGACGAUAACACUGGAAAAAAUA